GGCCAAUGCCACGUUUGUAGAAUCUAUCAGAGAAGACGCCUAGAGGAGACAUUAGACAGGAGAGGGAUCUUCUCUGGAGUCCCAAAUCAGGGACUUUUAGUUUGGAGCUGACUGUGGAAUCCCAGUGGUUAUGGGUGACCAAGACAGCCUUGCCCAGAUAGCCAGAGUAGGAUAUUUACGUGAUGAGUGGUGCCCGUCCUCUGCAUGAAAGAGUGGCACUCUUCAGAUGAAUACCUUGUUCCCCAGGGCGGGUGCCAGAGGGAUAUUAUGAUCGUGACUCAAGCGCUCGUUUCCACAGCGGAGUCUGAUUCAUAGCCUCCGUGUCCCACUAACUGGUGCCAUAGAACUGUGUGUCUGGAGACAAAUUCACAUCAAGUUUCCUAAAACAAGGAUUGAAUCGGGGCGGGCGGGGGACAGCGGACAAUAAUAAGGAGAUGUAAGCAAAGAUCUCUGAUUAGCUCUUUCUCUGCUCAGUAGAAUGACACUUCAUCCCGGGCUUGCUCUAAAGGCUGGAUUCUCAGAGUGGCUUCUGGUGUUCCAAGCCAGUGUUUUAGCUCAGCUUUGCCUUUUGUAUCAAGGCUGAAAGGCUGAACCCACUUAGGGAGCCACUAGGCUUAAUGGAAACUCAAGACCCAUCAUCCACUGGUGAUGGGCAGAGUCUGCUAUCCAACCUCCCUUUGGAGAAUGGAACAGUUCCUACCACUGUUGAUUCACAGUGAGGGCCAGGUCCUAUAGGGGCCCACAGAGGGGUCCAUGAUGUUGCUCCUGAUGGAGAUGACCAGUGACCGUGGUGAGAGGGAUCUGUUAGAGGCCUAGGCCCAUCAUGUCUGUGUGGGAAUCCCAGGACUCCCUGACUAGGGCCCCAGCUGAUGGGGUGACCUUGUAGUGACUAGAGAGUCAUCAUUAAAGUGUGCCAGUCUCUUGCCCUUAGUCAGCUUUUGCAGUCCUUGCUUUGUCUGACACGGUGAGCUUUGGAGUGAUUGGGGGAAGUGUACUAGGAGGUAGGUGAGGAGGGUGUCUAGGUCUAAGUAGAAACUGUUUCAUUAGGUACUUUAAGGCGUCUUAGUAGGCCUUUCUGCUUGCUUGCUUUUUUUUCAUGCCUGCCGCUUGUUUACCAUGUAUAGUUAUUUUUGUACAUUGUUGGAUUGGAUUCGAUAUUUGUCUUGAAGCCAUUUACAUUUGAGUUUGUGAGAGACAUUAAGCUAUCAUUUUCUUUAGUUGUAACCUUUUCUAGUUGUGUUUUUUUUUUUUCAUAGUUGUAGUUUUAGUAUGAUAUUUUAAUAAAAUGAGUUAUAGAGGA
This is a long non-coding RNA of Erinaceus europaeus (western European hedgehog), 1300 nucleotides long. RefSeq lists it as uncharacterized. NCBI's taxonomy places the organism in Eukaryota, Metazoa, Chordata, Mammalia, Eulipotyphla, Erinaceidae. The transcript has 2 exons. The record is from RefSeq and is a predicted model, not a curated record.